RNAcentral lists this ribosomal RNA (492 nucleotides) under uncultured bacterium. RNAcentral describes it as "partial 16S ribosomal RNA". It matches the Rfam family "Bacterial small subunit ribosomal RNA", at positions 29 to 507 of the family's 1533-position model. The record is from RNAcentral.
AGUGAACGCUGGCGGUAGGCCUAACACAUGCAAGUCGAACGGCAGCACAGUAAGAGCUUGCUCUUACGGGUGGCGAGUGGCGGACGGGUGAGGAAUACAUCGGACUCUACUUUUUCGUGGGGGAUAACGUAGGGAAACUUACGCUAAUACCGCAUACGACCUACGGGUGAAAGCAGGGGAUCUUCGGACCUUGCGCGAUUGAAUGAGCCGAUGUCGGAUUAGCUAGUUGGCGGGGUAAAGGCCCACCAAGGCGACGAUCCGUAGCUGGUCUGAGAGGAGGAUCAGCCACACUGGAAGGUAGACACGGUCCAUACUCCUACGGGAGGCAGCAGUGGGGAAUAUUAGACAAUGGGCGCAAGCCUUAUCCAGCCAUACCGCGUGGGUGAAGAAGGCCUUCGGGUUGUAAAGCCCUUUUGUUGGGAAAGAAAAGCAGCAGGUUAAUACCCCGCUGUUCUGACGGUACCCAAAGAAUAAGCACCGGCUAACUUCGUG